ACGGUCUGAGCCUGGCGAAAUGCCAGUGCUUCCAUGAGAAAACCUCUUUUCCUGGUAUCUGCUGUGAGAUGUGAUCAGAGACAGAGAAGAGCAGGCUCUAACUUAUGAUUGAAAGGAAAAAAACUUUAUUAACAUAAAACUACAGGGAAAAAACACACAGAACACGGGAUGAAAACCUUCCAAAUUUCCUCCUCCUCCCCCCACCAAAUUUCUUAAUUCCGUUGCCACCCUUUGGAUAAUCAAUUCUCAGUUCUUUGAGAAGAGAGGAGUCCCUCUUGCACUACAGACUUCACCCAGGAAACAGUCGAAACUUCUCGUGUCUCUGUGUCACGUGUGGCACCGCCCGGAGAACAUUUUGCCAUCGUGACCUCUUCCUUCCAUGUCCAGUGCUCUCACCACUGCACAUGGACCAGAGCUGCUUCUAGGGUUUUUCCCUUUAAGGAUGCUUUGUCCAGUUCCAAAAAAGAGCACAGUCCCUCUCCUUUUGGGACACCUGUCCCCCCCAUGUUUCACCCCCUGGGGCUGAGGGGUCUCUCGAACAGAGAUCAUCUUCCUCUUCUUCUUCUUCGAAGACGGAGGGCACCACCACCACCACCACCCUCCUCACCCGUCGUCUCUGUUCACACACUUUCACAUCACUGCACUUUCUUGGCUCUGAGCCAUUGCCUCCCCCUAGGAUGCAGUCUCUGUGUCACAGGAACUCAAGGGUUCUGUCCAUAGCUAUCCAAGAAAAGUCCAGCCAAAAGCCACUCCAUCAUCUCCUCCCACCUAGGAUUCUUCUCAACUUCUCUCAAUCUCACCAACUCCAGGAGGAAUCAGCAUUUGCAAGGUUUCCAUCUUCCCAAGAAGGGUUAAAAGUCCCAGGCUCUGCUGGUUUGGUUCAUGAACUCCCACAGCUGGCUGCCCUGCUGGGCACCCCCCCUUCUCCUUCACUCCAGCCGCGCUAUCACAGGCACAGGCUGCUCUCUCUCUCUCCCUCCGGGGGGGAAUGGGGGAUGGCUGCCCGAAGCCCUCGCAGUGCAAUGCUCCUCCACCCUUGGGCCCAGGCCUGGCCUACCUCCCUCCGGCCGCAUGGCUCCCCUCCCCCCUGCCCAGCUAGGAGCUGGACAGGGGAGAGGUCUCCUUUGGUCCAGGGCCGGAACUCAAAAGGAACUUCCAGUGGGAGUUCACAGCUUUUAACCCCUGUGUUCUCAGAGGCGUAUCCAUGCCCUCAAUGGACAAACCAGGUGCCAAUAUUAAAAUCUGGACACCGAUUGGCGUGACCACACCAUCCCAAAAAAACCAUUUCCUCUCAAACCACGACAUGGAGUGAAGGUUUUGUUUUGGCCUCUUAUCAGCCACUCGGCGGGACAUCCAGAUUGCACCAGUGCAUGUUGCUGCUUUUUGGUUCUUGCCCCUGCUUUUUUGCUUCUGCUUCGCUUCUGCUUUGCUUGCUCUUGCUUCCCCCCCCCGUCCCUUCAUUAGUUAAUUUAGCUAAACAGUCCAAACUCCUUUCUGGACUGUUCCCCCCACCCCGUUGGACCUGCUGACUGCUCCCGACUGGGAUUUGGAGCACGGAGAGAGAGUUUGCACCUUGUGACUGCAGCAGCUGCCUCAGCACCGGAGGGACUGAUAACAGAGCAAACCCCCAGGAGAGACUUUCUGAAUUUGUCAUCUUUGUCAGAGCAGUGGAAGAGUGGUGUCACCCGGUUUUGUUCAUUGUGUGUGCUGGGGGGUGCUGUGCCUGUUAAAUAAACAGGUUCUUUCCACCUCUCUCCGAGGAAUUCUUCCCAAACCGGUUGGGGGGAGGGGCUGUGUGGGUUUGUUUUAUGGAGAAGCCCUUUUUGGGGAUUCUCUCCCAAAUGUGCCCUAAACCAGGACACCUUUCCCUAUUAUUGUUGAUUUUAGCUUCCACUCUCCUUCCCUGCUUUUGGGUACUACCAUACUUUUUCUUGAUGUAAUCCAUUUUAAAAUGUCUAGGGGACCUAAAUUGAUACCAUCCCAUGGCCAAAUUUCACUUAAGUGUGUCCCCCCACACACCCAACAAUCAGUCAGAUUAAAUUCUUUCAUAAUCUUUUCCACCAUAUUGAUAAAAAGAUUCUUUUCAUAUAUUUGUCCCUCUCUAUCCGUUUGCCUUUUCACUGGCAAGGAGAAAGAAGUUGCACUUCUUUCUCUUUGAAUGUAUCCUCUAAGUUGGUUUCACUUUCUUGUUCAAAACUUACCCAUCUUUCUUUCACAGGGCACUCUCAUGACAUCUCCUAGCUGGGGUUUGCAAUAGUUUUAGCCAGCUGUGAAAAAUGCAUAUUUUAUGAUUGGCUUUUUGCAAAUAUUAAAAUGAAUAUUAUGUGUUAUGUUAGGAAGUUAUGCAGUAUUAAUUUUCUUCAGUAGUGUGUUAAAUAUAGUUCUAGGUUAAAACAUAAUGUUAAAAUAGAAACUAUGUGUGUGGGUUUUUUUUUUAAAGAAAGGAAUGAGGUAUUUCCACCGAGAUAGCAGCCACAGGACACCUAAAUCUUUCAGAGACAGAGAAUUUAUUGCUCCAUUAUCAGAAGAAACAAUCUUCUUCCUGUCUUGCUCCACUCUGAAGAUGCCAUCGGGAUUCAGAGGAAGCAGCUGACACUGACCAGACAGAAUCCUGUGUUUGAAUGGAAUUUAUGCAUCAUGUAUGAAAUCUAUGAAUAUGCAACAGGCUUUUGUUUUUUGCAAGUAAUCCUCUGUUAACGUGUGUCCUUUUUUUGGCUUAUUUUGCCCAGAAAGAGGUCCCUGGACCUUACAUAACUCUUUGUUCUUAUUGUCUUGUAUUGUCCUAAAACCUAAUUGUCAAAGUAUUUAUUGCUCUAAAUAUAUUACUAUUUUUAUAACCAUUUUAUGAUUAUUAAACUUUUAAAUUUUUAAAAACAAGUGAUUGGCAUUCUUUACACCACCCAAUAUAUUUUAUUAUCCUCUUUACAGGCUGUUAGCUGGGAGUGAUGGAUACAUUUGGGAUUCAUGUUUGUGUAUACUCUGAUUAAUGCACUUACUGUAUCUCCUCUAUCCAAGGGACAGUAACACUUCUCACAAGCGUUUCCUCCACUUCCUUUGCAGUCAGUGAGUAGCAGCACUGCUACCAGUGGCAGUCUGGUACGCACUGGCCUCCUCACCUCUGAUCCACAGGGGUUUUCUCGGUGCCCUGAGAGUUUUUCCCAGAAGGAGUUCCCGAUCCAGUCUUGCCUCCCACCUCUGGUUUUCCCUUCUUCUGGAGCCAUUCUGCCAUGACCCUCAUGGUACCGACUGCCUUCCCUCAAUUUGGUCCCAAUUUGGGGUACAAGGAGAGCGCUCUAUGGAACAGUACUGGAAACUGAGAUGUUACUUUGACUGUCAACUCUGAGCUGAACAAAACUUGAACUUUAUAACUAUAACUGAUAAAAACGCGAGCAGGCUCCCAGUACCAAAGUGAUUUCAGCAUUUAUUACAAGAAAAAGAAAGGCCCAAAGCAAGGGGGCCCGCGGGCCGAGCAGGAGCGUUCCCGUCGAGGAUGCUGCAGCGCCGGCGCUGGGGCUGCCUCAGCAGCGAUGGCCCCGAUGUCCCAGGUGGAGCGGCACAGAUUCAGUGGGUCAGAAGCCCCUUUCUAUCCUGUUUUUGUCCCUUUGGAUUGGUUUCUUUUUGGAUCCUUCAUUUGCAUGAAGGUUUAAGGUGCUUGAUUGGCCCAUGGCAGUUCUGUCCAGGCUGGCUGGUUUCCCUUGGGGGUGGUGCCCUUUACUGAGUGUGCUCUGGGAAUCCUGAACUUCAUGUGCCAGAGGAAUCUUUAACUUUGUGUGCCCCGGGACUCCUGAAUUUCGUGUCUCCCGAGAAUCCUGACUUUCGUGUGCCCCCAGAAUCCUGAAUUUCAUGUGCUCUGAGAUUCUUGAAUUCCGUGUGCCCUAGUAUCCUGAACCUCGUGUGCCCCAGGAAUCCUGAACUUCAUGUUCCCUGGGAAUCCUGAACUUCACCUGUCCCUGCCUUUCUCAGACACCGGCUGCCACUGUCCUGUCCUCACUGUUUUCUUCAUUACUGCUCUGCAUUUUCUCCACACCAUAGCCACCCCCUGCUGCCUUGCCUGCACGUCCCCACAGUUCCACCUCCCUCAAAACUCCUGAUACAUCUCAAACUUCUGAUACAUCUCAGUGUCCUGGGUUGCCAAGCACAUUGUGUUCUAUUUGCCAUCUGCAUGGCAGUUGUCUUCUGAUAAUUGGGCAGUUUUCCUUAUCUCUUCCCCCACCACUCCUCCCUCCAGAGACAUCUGCUGAUAACAGGCCAUUGAAUGUCACUGCAUGGCUGAUAACAACUAUGGCAUCCCAUUGGGAGAUGCUCUUCCCAGAGGGAGGAGCCAAGCAUUCCUACCCGGAUAUAAUCUGGAGAUUCUGGAACAGCAGCACGGCUUCUCCACUGGAUUCCCAGAGGAACAGCAGCUGCCUCUUCCCCUGGAUCUUCAGAGGAAGAACACACCCUUUUACAGGAUCCCUGCUCCAGCAGAACCACCCCUGACACUCCAGGAGGGCUACAGCCACAAUUCCAACUGGACUGCUGCCAACACCCUGACCCACAGGGUGUCACGUUGUGUUCUGACUCAGGCAGUGUGGGUUUAGUUUACUGCAUUGUUUAUUUUAUUUUCUUCCCUAAUAAAGAUCUGUUAUCCCUGCUCCCAUAUCUUUGCCUGAGAGCCCCACAUUCAAAAAUCAUAGCACAGGGAGGGGAUUUACAUUUUCCAUUUCAGGGGAGGCUCCUGCCUUCCUUAGCAGACUCCUGUCUGUUCAAACCAAGACAGAUUUUGGCACCAAUAUGCAGCUUGAGGGCAUUGAGAGAAAAAGGAAUAACAGUUCUUGAGUAAUCUAAUUUUUGUGUGCUGCUAUUGAAACCUCGUUAGGUGUCACCAUGUGGUCCAGCUUACCCUGCUUUGGGUGGCACAUGGCCCUGGCUACACUUCUCCCAUUUGCAGGCCCUUAUCUCAACAUGGGUCCUGUAACCAAGGCUACUGUGGCUGUUAUCCAGUUUGCUUUACAGGUUAAUAAGGUGAGCAAUUAACGGAUUUUUAACUUCCUCUGGAAAGCAGGCACAUGGAUUCAGAGCUACCACACCCUAACUGUACGGUUUUGGGGUCACUUUAAUAAUGGCACCCACUGUGAGGAAAUGACACCGGGAGAAAUUUUCUCUCAACCCUUCACCCAGCUCUUUGGGUCUGCCCCACCAGUUUUCGAAGGGUUCAGAUCCACUCUAAAUGCUAAUGAUAUCAGACAGUGGCUGGUGUUGCUGAUAGGCCUGUUAACCCUUUUUAUUUAGCAUUCAGUGAUAAGGGAAGGCUGACUUGGAUAACCACCCUGACACCUGUGGUAAUCACAUAUCCUCUGAACAGAGAGAGACACAGCUCUGCCAGGAUUUUCCUGGGAAGCUGUGAGGAGCUGUGGCAAACUUAGAGAAAAGAAUUCAAACAAUUAUUCUCUCUCUUUCUGCAACCAUUGUUUAUAGAUAGGGUUCUCCAGAGUGUGCUAUUCAUAGUUCACCAAGAGUGUGAGAGGUUUUCACUUUGAGACCAAUCAGAUCUCACCUUAGCGAGUCACACUAUACAAGACCCGCUGCUUUCAUUAAAUGCUUUUUGCCUCCUGAUCCACCUGAGGACCGGAGUCUUUCAUUCCAUCCCUGACUCAACAGCGUCAUCCGGUGACCGCCGACGUGUGCUGCAGCCUAGGCUGGAGGCACAGGAUCUGCUGGACCCCGACCUUUGGUGCAGCCGAGGCUGAAGAAACAGGACCUUAAGGGAUCCGGCCGAGUUCACAGCUGAGACUGAACAUGGGCGUGGUCUGGUGACCCCUCAUGGAAUCGCAGGACAGCCGGGACACGUCCCGAGAUGAGCGACCCAGCGACCCUCUGCGAUCGGACACCGUUUGCCCUCUUGAGUGAGGUAACUCUGCCUUUGCCCCGUGUCUUCCUGAGGAGACUGGUCCUGUUCAGACCACAGGGUUGGGGGCAAACGACAGACCAAACAAACCUCCCCCGGGAGGCUGAGAACUGAGCAGGGGAUGGCUUUUCCCGACACAGCAGACUGUCUCUUGAAGUGGACGCCUGCUGAGGGAUGGGUUUUCCUUAAAAAUGGGGAACCAACCUUCCAGAGAUGAACAACUUGUUCUGGCCAUGCGGAGGAAUGUCAUACCUCCCAUGGGAAUUGCAGUCUCAGAUGAAGUGCUCUGUGAUCUGCUGGGCUGGGCCAGAGAUCACGGGUUCCCAGUGGAGCUGGGCGCUGCACUGAGUCUGAGAACUUGGGAGGAAUUGGGGGAUUGCCUCUAGGAUGAGGUUUGCAGAGGGGACGCAGUCGUGUCCGCACCGAUCGUCACCUGGAGAUGCAUUUCUAAAUUCCUUCGGUGCAAGGUCCCGGGGAGCAGAGCACUGACAAAGCCAACUUGUUUUUCACCUCUUGUCAAAAGUACAUAUUAUAUGGCUCUAUGCAGAUAUUUACUAUGUGUAUUAUGUAUGAUUAGUAGUGCUGUAUUACCAUUUUAAUAGUAUUGUAAUUGUAGUUUUGCAGUUAAAAUGUAACUUUUGUAGUUAAAAUAGAAACUAUGUGUGCGGGAUAUUUUUUAAAGAAAGGAAUGAGGUACUCACACCAGAUAGCAGCCACAGGACACCUACAUCUUUCAGAGAAAAAGAAUUUAUUGCUCCAUCAUCAGAAGAAACCAACUUUUUCCUGCCUUGCUCAGCCAUGAAGACGCCGUCAGGAUUCAGAGGACGAAGUUGACACUGACCAGGCAGAAUCCUUUGUUUGAAUGGAAUUCAUGCAUCAUGUAUGAGGUGUAUGAAUAUGCCUAUUGCUUUUAAGGAUUAAUCCUCUGUUAAGGUGUGUCCUUUUUUGGGCUUAUUUUGCCCAGAGAGAGGUACCUGGACUUUUCAUAACUCUUUGGUUUUAUUGUCUUGUAUUGUCCUAAUCCAAAUUGUUCAAAUGUUUAUUACUUUAAUUAUAUUACUAUUUUUAUAACCAUUUUAUUACUAUUAAACUUUUAAAAUUCUGAAAAUAA
Haemorhous mexicanus (house finch) is the source of this 6998-nucleotide long non-coding RNA. RefSeq lists it as uncharacterized. The record is from RefSeq and is a predicted model, not a curated record. NCBI's taxonomy places the organism in Eukaryota, Metazoa, Chordata, Aves, Passeriformes, Fringillidae. The transcript has 2 exons.